RNAcentral lists this ribosomal RNA (209 nucleotides) under uncultured Azotobacter sp. RNAcentral describes it as "partial 16S ribosomal RNA". It matches the Rfam family "Bacterial small subunit ribosomal RNA", at positions 161 to 372 of the family's 1533-position model. The record is from RNAcentral. Lineage: Bacteria; Pseudomonadati; Pseudomonadota; Gammaproteobacteria; Pseudomonadales; Pseudomonadaceae.
CGCUAAUACCGCAUACGUCCUACGGGAGAAAGUGGGGGACCCUCGGGCCUCACGCUAACAGAUGAGCCUAGGUCGGAUUAGCUAGUUGGUGGGGUAAAGGCCCACCAAGGCGACGAUCCGUAACUGGUCUGAGAGGAUGAUCAGUCACACUGGAACUGAGACACGGUCCAGACUCCUACGGGAGGCAGCAGUGGGGAAUAUUGGACAAU